Non-coding RNA from Sus scrofa (pig), 4089 nucleotides. Lineage: Eukaryota; Metazoa; Chordata; Mammalia; Artiodactyla; Suidae. The record is from RefSeq and is a predicted model, not a curated record.
UUAAAAAAUUUUCUUUUGUAUUUCACUUAUUUUUUAUCGAUGGUCUCCAUUUUCUAAGUUUAAAAUCAGAUGUUUUACAUAAAAAGCCAUAUCUAAAACCUCAUCACAACACACACACACACACACACACACACACACGACAGGUUCCUAACCUUCCUUACCCUUCCCGAUUCCUUGUCUCAGAAGCAAUCAUUGUCGACUCUCAGGGCUCUUCACAGCAGUCAGGUCAGGCUGAUGUUGGCCAGUCACGCAGCCAGUGGUAUCUGAGAUAGCUACACCAUCGAGGGCUCUAAGACUUGGUGGAUCUUCUUUGUAGCUAAUCCUCUGAGUCUGUAGGCGUACCUUUUGUGGAUACUUGUAGGCAAAGCCCCCUCAGUUGGCUUUUUUAGUUCCAUCGUGGGAAACUAGUCUCACCUUUUCUAGGCGACUGGUUUGGUUUCAUGACAUCCUUUGGGUUUGUCUUACAAUCUCAAGUGGGUCUUACACAGCAUUCUUCUACAGGAUCAGCUGUGGCCAGUGAGAUACCGUCCUCUGUUACAGAACCAAACUUGGGCUUUAUAUAAGGGAUUGAGCAUCUAUGCACAGUAAAUCCAAUCUACUGACACUGGGCUGUGGUGAAGGAAAGGUCAACAUUUAUUUCAGGGCGCCACAAAAGGAGAAUGGGAGGCGAUUGCUCACAAGACCCAAACUCCCCAAUGGCUUUCAGGGAAAGGUUUUUAAAGACAGGGUGAGGGAGAGGGUUGUGGGGUACAUGAUUAGCUCACAUCCAAUUCUUGGAUCAGUUGGUGAUGAGGUAAUCAGGAAUCAACAAUAUCAACCUUCUGGUUCCACCCAGUCUGGGCUCUGCGUGUUUGUGGUCAGUAUGCAUUUAACUUUUUCCACCUGGUGGGGGUUUCGGUAUCUGCAAAAUAGCUCAGAAUAUUAUCUCAGAAUAUUUGGCUCAGAAUAUUAUCUAUAGACUUUAAGGGGAACUUAAGGUCCUUGCCUUUGUUUUAUGCUUAAAUUAUCAUUACUUUGUCUUGCUUGAGUAGAAGCAAGUAAGACAAAGGAAGUUGUUUUCCUUUGUUUCUGCAUUUGCUCCCUUCUCUGAUUAAAUUUUCUCCUUGGAACUCAGGGAAAGCCUAGGAGGCUAAAGUCUUUCCACAAAUAAGAGACAGCAGACAUGGCAGGGUGCUGCUCGGUUACAGCUCCCCUCAAGAAUUCUGGUCAUUGAUAGAAUGGGCCAGCGUUGAAACAACACGCAAGACUGAUGAUGAGCUCCUUAAUUCUCAGAUUUUGUUUCUCAGUCAUUCUGGCAUCUCGCAUUUUCGCUAUUAAAUCCUCAAUAUGUGACUUGAAAGAGAAAAAGAUCUUGUCUGGGCUCACCUACUGACUCCGUGUUAAGCCUGAUUCUAUGGCAUGCAGAUGUCUUCUGUCUGCAGAACGCUUGGAUAAUAGAGAUCAUCUUUGGACUGCUGCACAAGCCCUGUUCAUCCAAGAAGCCUUGAGGCAGCGGCUUGACUGAACCGUUCCUUCUGGAGUCUGUAAAGCCAGCUUCCAUGCCACCAUAGAUGGGGAUGAUGCCCUGCGAAAAACACAAAUGCAAUUAAUGACCCCUCAAAAGUACUCAGGGCUUACUCAUUGUUCAUUACCUUGUUUCUUCUGAAGCCCUUCAAGCUGUUCUGACACGGAGGCUCAUUUUCAUCUAAGAAGAAUAUACCAUCAGGGAAAUCAUUGUCUUACAGGCACAGAAAAUGGAAAUCCCAUCCCCCGCGGGGUGGUGGGGCUGGAGAGGAAGACAGGGAGAGUGGGGAUUAAGUCAGGGAUAAGAAGUGAGGGUCUGUGCUUCCUCUCCCUGGGGGAGGAGACAAGGUACAGGAAAACCUUGGGAAAGCAAAUUUGCUGUUCAUCUCUGGAUAGACUUUGGGAAAUUUCGAGCUCUCUACACUGUAUUUUUUUUUUUUUUUUAAGUUUUAUUGGGAGUUCCCCUUAUGGCUCUGUGGGUUAAAACUGCGAGGAUGCGAGUUUGAUCCCUGGCCUCGCUCAGUGGGUUAAGGGUCUAGUGUUGUCAUGGGCUCUGGUGUAGGUCACAGAUGUGGCUUGGAUCCCAUGUUGCUGUGUCUGAGGUGAAGGCCUGUAGUUGCGGCCCAGUCCCACCCCUAGCCUAGGAACUUCCAAAUGCCGCAGCCGUUAAAAAAAAAAAAAAAAAAAAAAAAAAAAAAAAAAAAAAAUUAUUGGAGUAUGGUUGACCUAAAAUGUUGGGUUAAUUCCCAGUGUACAACAAAGGGAAUCAAUUAUGUAUCAGUUAUAUAUCCAUGCUUUUUCAGAUUCUUUUCCCGCAGAGGUUAUUACAGAGCAUAGAGUAGAUUUCCCUGUGCUAGCUAUAUAGUAGGUCUUUGUUACUUGUUUAUUUUAUAUAUAGUAGCAUGUAGACGUUCAUCCCAACCUCCUAAUCAGUGUGAUGUGAGAAGGACGAGGCAGGGCAGUGCCUUAGUCUGGUUAAGGCAGAGGUCUAAGUAAAUCAACCUGAGAUGGUAGUCUGACAGCUUCACAAACUGAGUGUGUUGUCUCAGCCACCUGGAAGUUCCCUGUGCUCCCUGGGCCCUGCUGGCUGACACAGAGGUGCUUAAAAGAGCCAGAUUAUAUGAGGGGGCUGCAGAUAAUUUGUUUUGGGGCUGUGGAGGAGCAGUUGGCUUCAGCAGCUGAUGCCAGCACAGAGACCAAAUGUACCGGAUGGGACCAAGCACAGCUCAGCAGAAUAUUCUCAGUGACUAAUUGACUAAGCAGUGACUAAAUGACUAAGGGUGAUUACAGGGGAAGGUAGCUUAACCCUCUGAAACCAUAGGUUCCCUUAGGAGGGAAACCGGAAGAAUGAGGAAGAGAAUAAUUAAAAACUCAAUGAGUUUGUCUAAUGAAAAAAGCCUGAGUUCCUAAUAGCCCAGAGAGUCUGUUGAAUCUAAAAGGACCGAAGUCCCUUGAAAGCAUUUGAGAUUUUUUUUAUCUACUGAGUAGAAAUGGAAACUUGAGACACAUGACAUCAUCUUUGGGUUUUAAAAGUGCAUUUUGUGUGUGUAUAUCUGAGUUAGAGUGUGCACAUUUCAACUCUUGCCGUAUUAGUCUGUUUGGCAUUCCACACAGUAAAGGACUUAUCAUAAGGCAGACAAGCUGCCACGAGCCCAAAUGGAUGAGUUUGUAGCUUUAAACCACAAGCAAUCCUUGAGAGGAGAUUUACGAAAUUUCCACAAUUCUUCUUUAUUUUUAUGUCUCUGAAAAUUUCCCCUCCCCUCCCCCAUCGUGUGAUCAAAUCAUGGUGCAGAUUCCUCCCAGGGUAUCCUGAAUCCAUCUUUGUAAAUCCUUAAGUUUCCAGAAUCUAGCAGCAUCUACAUUGGUUGCCUGGCUUCUCUAAUGUCUGCCCAGCUCAGCAGUCCUGGAUGCUGAGGUCACCUCCUACGUAUCAUAACCAGUAUCCCAACCAGUAUCAAUAUAUCAUCCAUGGACCUGCCUUUCCUCUCAAAGCACGGGCUAACUUUUAGAAAAAAGUGCAUGUCUGAAGACAUGAGCUCAUGUUCCACAUCCAGUCUGGGACAGCCCCCCAUGUGUUAGAGGGCUGCCCCCUGCAUUCCCCACCUCACUCCUCCUUCUCCAGGGCUGACACGUCAUUUGCUUUUAACAGGUGACUGGUCCUCCAGGACAAGGUUGUAAGUCCAUUACUCCUUUUGCUACUCUCACUUUUGCCCCCCAGAAACAAUCUUCUAAAAGUUUAGUGUCUCUGGUAGAAUGUACUUCCUUGGUUCAUUACAGGGUAUGACUUAGUUUGGGAGCAGCUAACAGUCUGCUUUGCAUUAUUCAGAGUAAAGAACAUUAGCUGUUGUGUCAAAUCGUAGCUGUUUAUUCCUCACUGCAGUCUGUAGUGGGUGGAGCUGCUCUCUUCACAGCAGUCACUCAGGUACUGUGCCUCCUUCCAGAAAAGAGACUAUCUCAGAAUCCUUUGGUCCCAGCCAUGAAAAGAAAGGAGAGUGGGUUCAAGAGACAUUUAGGGUGAGGGAGUUCCCAUUGUGGCACAGCAGAAAUGAAUACGACUAGUAUCCAUGAAGAUGUGGAUUUGAUCCC